This 791-nucleotide ribosomal RNA is filed under the name Escherichia coli. Its description in RNAcentral is "partial 23S ribosomal RNA". It matches the Rfam family "Bacterial large subunit ribosomal RNA", at positions 2152 to 2925 of the family's 2925-position model. The record is from RNAcentral. Lineage: Bacteria; Pseudomonadati; Pseudomonadota; Gammaproteobacteria; Enterobacterales; Enterobacteriaceae.
AGGCUUUGAAGUGUGGACGCCAGUCUGCAUGGAGCCGACCUUGAAAUACCACCCUUUAAUGUUUGAUGUUCUAACGUGGGCCCGUAAUCCGGGUUGCGGACAGUGUCUGGUGGGUAGUUUGACUGGGGCGGUCUCCUCCUAAAGAGUAACGGAGGAGCACGAAGGUUGGCUAAUCCUGGUCGGACAUCAGGAGGUUAGUGCAAUGGCAUAAGCCAGCUUGACUGCGAGCGUGACGGCGCGAGCAGGUGCGAAAGCAGGUCAUAGUGAUCCGGUGGUUCUGAAUGGAAGGGCCAUCGCUCAACGGAUAAAAGGUACUCCGGGGAUAACAGGCUGAUACCGCCCAAGAGUUCAUAUCGACGGCGGUGUUUGGCACCUCGAUGUCGGCUCAUCACAUCCUGGGGCUGAAGUAGGUCCCAAGGGUAUGGCUGUUCGCCAUUUAAAGUGGUACGCGAGCUGGGUUUAGAACGUCGUGAGACAGUUCGGUCCCUAUCUGCCGUGGGCGCUGGAGAACUGAGGGGGGCUGCUCCUAGUACGAGAGGACCGGAGUGGACGCAUCACUGGUGUUCGGGUUGUCAUGCCAAUGGCACUGCCCGGUAGCUAAAUGCGGAAGAGAUAAGUGCUGAAAGCAUCUAAGCACGAAACUUGCCCCGAGAUGAGUUCUCCCUGAGACUUAGAGUCUCCUGAAGGAACGUUGAAGACGACGACGUUGAUAGGCCGGGUGUGUAAGCGCAGCGAUGCGUUGAGCUAACCGGUACUAAUGAACCGUGAGGCUUAACCUUACAACACCGGAG